ACGCUCGACACCUACGGGAUGCAGCAGUGGGGAAUAUUGCACAAUGGGGGAAACCCUGAUGCAGCGACGCCGCGUGGAGGAAGAAGGUCUUCGGAUUGUAAACUCCUGUUGUUGGGGAAAAAGAGGAUGGUACCCAACAAGGAAGUGACGGCUAACUACGUGCCAGCAGCAGCGGUAAUCUGAGCGGGCUGGCAAGGC
RNAcentral lists this ribosomal RNA (198 nucleotides) under uncultured bacterium. RNAcentral describes it as "partial 16S ribosomal RNA". It matches the Rfam family "Bacterial small subunit ribosomal RNA", at positions 326 to 539 of the family's 1533-position model. The record is from RNAcentral.